This 608-nucleotide long non-coding RNA is filed under the name Populus trichocarpa (black cottonwood). Its description in RNAcentral is "long non-coding RNA (PTRI_LNC003233)". Lineage: Eukaryota; Viridiplantae; Streptophyta; Magnoliopsida; Malpighiales; Salicaceae. The record is from RNAcentral.
CUUCUCAAUCACCAACAACCAGGAAGGCUGAUGCUCCAUUGAAUGCAUUUCAUUUGAGGAGAUAUAGUAGUGGCUCUUUGUUCCAAAAGGAUUCCCGGAGAAGCUUGAAGGAUGAGUUGAAGGAUUUGAAAGGGAAAAGAAAUGAGGAUACAAUGGGGAGUAGAGAGGCGGGGCAUGGUUCUUUGAGAUCAGUUCAGAAACCUGCAACAAGAAAUGAGGAUACAAUGGGUAGUACAGAGGCGGGGCAGGGUUCUUUGAGAUCAGUUCAGAAACCUGCAACACCUGUUAAAAUUUCAUCACUAAAGGGAAAAUCUGUUAGGACUAUCAGAGCCAGCCGAUAUGCUGCAGAGACAAUAAAAGCUGGAGAGAUGAGUAGAAACCACAUUGAUGAUAAGGUUGGAAAAAUAUGCAAUGAAGCUCAGACAGUAAACAUGGGAAAGGAUGAAAUGGAGAGAGGACCUGAUAAUAUGUUAAUUGGCGCCGAUAAAAAGAACUCUGAUGCUCAGCAUCACAUGUCAAAGCCAACCCUUUCGAAGUAUAAGAAGAAAGAAAAUGAAGUAAUUUCAGAGAGUGUUACUGUGGAGUCCACAGAAGACUCAGAAAGCGAG